AUAUACACAAAUUGUAUUAACGCUUAUUAUAUAUAGUAUAUAAUCAUUGUUGCCCAUAAUUAACCAACACUGAACAGCCAGUGUUAUACAAUUUAUAGUUGACGCAUCCAAUCGAAAAUAUGAAAGUCAAACAAUCAAAGCACCUCAAUUACCAUUCGCAUGAAGCUUUUCAUGUGCAACGCUUUAAAUAGCAUUAAAUAGAAAUAGACCAUGAACGAUUCCACUCAAGUACUCACACAAUAUGAAAUUGUCGGAUAGUGAAAGACUGCGAAUYGGUUCCCAAUCGAAUCGAUUUGAACUCAGAACUUUAAUUUGUCUUUUGAUACGUGUGAAAGCCGAGGCCAAACGUAUAGAAGCCAAACACAUAGAUAUAUAUCCGCAUUUGAU
Long non-coding RNA from Drosophila arizonae, 387 nucleotides. The record is from RefSeq and is a predicted model, not a curated record. Lineage: Eukaryota; Metazoa; Arthropoda; Insecta; Diptera; Drosophilidae.